CAUAUUUUUUAGAUUUCCUUGAGCUCAUUGACACUUCUACUUUCUGAGUCUUCGAAACAAAAAAUACGAAGUUUAGCUUCGUCCGCGUUAUUUUUGUGGAUUGUAUUAAAUGAUAUACUCAAAGAAAAUCUUUGAAAAACCUCUGUUUUCUCCCCAAGUUGGUUCAGCUGGCGGUGGCGGGGGUGACUGUAUGUUCGGUUCCUUUAUGCUACAAGCGAGAUGGUGUUAUACAAGCAGUCCACUUUUUCCAACGUGUUUUGCAUAUUUUAGUGGCCCAUGUGUUAUAAAUUUUCGCCUUAAUUACUCUGCGUAUAAUCUAUCUUUAUCCGGUUUCUCUAGCUCAUUAUUUUCUGCCUGAUAUCUUUAGGUAAACUAUGGGUGAAAUUAGAUAACGCAAUAUUGAUUUUGAGAGGAAUGGAAAUACAAUGAUAAGGAUGUCGAUAUUGACUGUUUCGGAUCUGAGGUACCAUUGUUGUUUGCUCGUGCAUUGUUGACUGCUCUUCUGCGAAGGCAGCAAGCGAAGAAGCGUUUGCCAUAUCGAUCGUCUCAGUGGCCCGCACACAAAAUUUUCCCACGGCUAAUAUUAUAACAUUAUUUUUUAUACAUUAAGCAAACAGUAUUGUAUUGGUUCAUUGGAAUCCGACUGAUUUCUAUUUUUUACGUAACACAGAUUUUGUCCUUAGUGGAACUUAGAACUCCUUUGUGAUGUAUUAAGUAUUAAUGAAAUCAUUUCCAUUAAUGAAUCAUGCUGCUCAGAAAUUGUCUGAAACUUAUGCGGAGCCUUUCGCGUAGAAUGUUCACAACGUAGAAUUUUGUUCUCUUCGGACGGGGGUCGAUGGCGCGUCAAAUUCAACAAAGCCACAGAUCAUCGGAUGGCUGAAUCCUAAUUCCUUUCUGUCAAUUCAAUUUAUUAAUAAUUCAACUCUAAUUCGAGCAGUCAAGCUAUUGUGUGAAUUCCUUUUUGGACGAUGAAAUGAAACCUUAAUAGGCGAUUUUGAUUUUUAUUUGAAGUGAAUUUUCACGUGAUCGUCUUUUUACUGCCGUGCACUUGGCCUGUUCCCAGGAGAAAAUAUUAUUGGUUCCAGAUAAAUAUCUGCUGAGAAGGACAUCUUUUUAACCCUUUCAUCAUUCUUUCUGCUGGUUUGGCCUGAUCAAUACCUGUCGUUGACACUCUUAGUUUUCAACUCCGCUCUCCCAUCAGAGAAAAGAGAAGCCAAUUUCAACAGCCUCUUUGUUCUUUCCCUUCUUCAAUUUUAGAAAGGAUUUGAAAAUCGCCAAAAUGCUUCCAAAAUAUCUGGCUCUCAUUCUCAGUUUUGUCCUGGCUCUUGAUGCGUUUGCGUUCCACACACCCAGAGGCAUGGACCAGUUGACGGGAGCCCACCACGAGGCCAUGUGUGACACGGAAGACGACUUCGCUUGUCACUCUGGAUCGGUGGCCUGCAUUCCGGGCAAGUGGGUCUGUGACGAUUUCGGAGACUGUGAUGACGGCAGUGACGAAUUGUUUUGUAUCGACGGAGUUCCAGUGUUUAUGGCUAGUCGCGGUUAAUAAAACGAAGAAAUCAAGUUCGGAUUGGAGCAUAGUCAUUGAACGCUUGAAAAUUCGAAGACCCCGUCUUCUGUACUUUGAGAACUAACUUAAAAUCUUCGCUUAUUUUCCAUUAGUGUCUAAACAAUUUAAAAUUAAUAUCUAACAUCUUA
This is a long non-coding RNA of Symsagittifera roscoffensis, 1698 nucleotides long. RefSeq lists it as uncharacterized. NCBI's taxonomy places the organism in Eukaryota, Metazoa, Xenacoelomorpha, Acoela, Convolutidae. The record is from RefSeq and is a predicted model, not a curated record. The transcript has 2 exons.